This 1372-nucleotide ribosomal RNA is filed under the name uncultured bacterium. RNAcentral describes it as "bacterial SSU rRNA". It matches the Rfam family "Bacterial small subunit ribosomal RNA", at positions 28 to 1381 of the family's 1533-position model. The record is from RNAcentral.
GAUGAACGCUGGCGGCGUGCCUAAUACAUGCAAGUCGAGCGAACGGACGAGAAGCUUGCUUCUCUGAUGUUAGCGGCGGACGGGUGAGUAACACGUGGAUAACCUACCUAUAAGACUGGGAUAACUUCGGGAAACCGGAGCUAAUACCGGAUAAUAUUUUGAACCGCAUGGUUCAAAAGUGAAAGACGGUCUUGCUGUCACUUAUAGAUGGAUCCGCGCUGCAUUAGCUAGUUGGUAAGGUAACGGCUUACCAAGGCGACGAUGCAUAGCCGACCUGAGAGGGUGAUCGGCCACACUGGAACUGAGACACGGUCCAGACUCCUACGGGAGGCAGCAGUAGGGAAUCUUCCGCAAUGGGCGAAAGCCUGACGGAGCAACGCCGCGUGAGUGAUGAAGGUCUUCGGAUCGUAAAACUCUGUUAUUAGGGAAGAACAUAUGUGUAAGUAACUGUGCACAUCUUGACGGUACCUAAUCAGAAAGCCACGGCUAACUACGUGCCAGCAGCCGCGGUAAUACGUAGGUGGCAAGCGUUAUCCGGAAUUAUUGGGCGUAAAGCGCGCGUAGGCGGUUUUUUAAGUCUGAUGUGAAAGCCCACGGCUCAACUGUGGAGGGUCAUUGGAAACUGGAAAACUUGAGUGCAGAAGAGGAAAGUGGAAUUCCAUGUGUAGCGGUGAAAUGCGCAGAGAUAUGGAGGAACACCAGUGGCGAAGGCGACUUUCUGGUCUGUAACUGACGCUGAUGUGCGAAAGCGUGGGGAUCAAACAGGAUUAGAUACCCUGGUAGUCCACGCCGUAAACGAUGAGUGCUAAGUGUUAGGGGGUUUCCGCCCCUUAGUGCUGCAGCUAACGCAUUAAGCACUCCGCCUGGGGAGUACGACCGCAAGGUUGAAACUCAAAGGAAUUGACGGGGACCCGCACAAGCGGUGGAGCAUGUGGUUUAAUUCGAAGCAACGCGAAGAACCUUACCAAAUCUUGACAUCCUUUGACAACUCUAGAGAUAGAGCCUUCCCCUUCGGGGGACAAAGUGACAGGUGGUGCAUGGUUGUCGUCAGCUCGUGUCGUGAGAUGUUGGGUUAAGUCCCGCAACGAGCGCAACCCUUAAGCUUAGUUGCCAUCAUUAAGUUGGGCACUCUAAGUUGACUGCCGGUGACAAACCGGAGGAAGGUGGGGAUGACGUCAAAUCAUCAUGCCCCUUAUGAUUUGGGCUACACACGUGCUACAAUGGACAAUACAAAGGGCAGCGAAACCGCGAGGUCAAGCAAAUCCCAUAAAGUUGUUCUCAGUUCGGAUUGUAGUCUGCAACUCGACUACAUGAAGCUGGAAUCGCUAGUAAUCGUAGAUCAGCAUGCUACGGUGAAUACGUUCCCGGGUCU